GACGAACGCUGGCGGCGUGCCUAAUACAUGCAAGUCGAGCGGACUGAAUGGGAGCUUGCUCUUGUUCGGUCAGCGGCGGACGGGUGAGUAACACGUGGGCAACCUGCCCGCAAGACCGGGAUAACUCCGGGAAACCGGAGCUAAUACCGGAUAACACCGAAGACCGCAUGGUCUUUGGUUGAAAGGCGGCGCAAGCUGCCACUUGCGGAUGGGCCCGCGGCGCAUUAGCUAGUUGGUGAGGUAACGGCUCACCAAGGCGACGAUGCGUAGCCGGCCUGAGAGGGUGACCGGCCACACUGGGACUGAGACACGGCCCAGACUCAUACGGGAGGCAGCAGUAGGGAAUCUUCCGAAAUGGGCGAAAGCCUGACGGAGCGACGCCGCGUGAGCGAAGAAGGCCGUCGGGUCGUAAAGCUCUGUUGUGAGGGACGAAGGAGCGCCGUUUGAAGAAGGCGGCGCGGUGACGGUACCUCACGAGGAAGCCCCGGCUAACUACGUG
Molecule: ribosomal RNA, 499 nt
Filed under: uncultured bacterium
Lineage: Bacteria
Description: partial 16S ribosomal RNA
Rfam family: Bacterial small subunit ribosomal RNA
Source: RNAcentral